UGAAAAAGUCUUUUGUGUACCA
RNAcentral lists this non-coding RNA (22 nucleotides) under Mus musculus (house mouse). The record is from RNAcentral. Lineage: Eukaryota; Metazoa; Chordata; Mammalia; Rodentia; Muridae.